GAGUUUGAUCCUGGCUCAGAUUGAACGCUGGCGGCAUGCCUUACACAUGCAAGUCGAACGGCAGCAUGAUCUAGCUUGCUAGAUUGAUGGCGAGUGGCGAACGGGUGAGUAAUUCAUCGGAACGUGCCCUGUAGUGGGGGAUAACUGGUCGAAAGAUUAGCUAAUACCGCAUACGACCUGAGGGUGAAAGUGGGGGACCGCAAGGCCUCAUGCUAUAGGAGCGGCCGAUGUCUGAUUAGCUAGUUGGUGGGGUAAAGGCCCACCAAGGCGACGAUCAGUAGCUGGUCUGAGAGGACGAUCAGCCACACUGGGACUGAGACACGGCCCAGACUCCUACGGGAGGCAGCAGUGGGGAAUUUUGGACAAUGGGCGAAAGCCUGAUCCAGCAAUGCCGCGUGUGUGAAGAAGGCCUCGG
Molecule: ribosomal RNA, 415 nt
Filed under: uncultured microorganism
Description: bacterial SSU rRNA
Rfam family: Bacterial small subunit ribosomal RNA
Source: RNAcentral